GGUUCUGGAUGGAAGGGCCGUCGCUCAACGGAUAAAAGGUACGCCGGGGAUAACAGGCUGAUCUCCCCCAAGAGUCCACAUCGACGGGGAGGUUUGGCACCUCGAUGUCGGCUCAUCGCAUCCUGGGGCUGAAGUAGGUCCCAAGGGUUCGGCUGUUCGCCGAUUAAAGCGGUACGUGAGCUGGGUUUAGAACGUCGUGAGACAGUUCGGUCCCUAUCUGAUGUGGGCGCAGGAUAUUUGAGAGGAGCUGUCCUUAGUACGAGAGGACCGGGAUGGACGAACCUCUAGUGUACCAGUUGUUCCGCCAGGGGCAUCGCUGGGUAGCUAUGUUCGGAAAGGAUAACCGCUGAAAGCAUCUAAGCGGGAAACCUACCUCAAGAUUAGAUAUCCCUUUCCGGUGGCGACACCGGAGCUAAAGACCCCUUGUAGACUACAAGGUUGAUAGGCCAGAGGUGUAAGUCCAGAAAUGGAUUGAGCUUACUGGUACUAAUGGGUCGUGCGGCUUGACCAU
RNAcentral lists this ribosomal RNA (511 nucleotides) under Deltaproteobacteria bacterium. RNAcentral describes it as "partial 23S ribosomal RNA". It matches the Rfam family "Bacterial large subunit ribosomal RNA", at positions 2425 to 2925 of the family's 2925-position model. Lineage: Bacteria; Pseudomonadati; Myxococcota; Myxococcia. The record is from RNAcentral.